Molecule: ribosomal RNA, 1488 nt
Filed under: Triticum aestivum (bread wheat)
Lineage: Eukaryota; Viridiplantae; Streptophyta; Magnoliopsida; Poales; Poaceae
Description: partial small subunit ribosomal RNA
Source: RNAcentral
AUGGCGAAGGGCAAGAAAGUUGAUAGGCUCAGCGCACUGCCUGAUGACGUUCUGGUCAACAUUCUUGACCGACUCAAUGUCCGUGAGGCUGCAAGAACCAGCAUCCUCUCGAGACGGUGGACUCAGCUCUGCGCCAAGCUGUCUCGGCUUAUAAUAAGCACUCUGGAUUUCCUGCCAAAGGGUGUGUUGUGCACCGACAUCUCUGAUGAUGAAUUGUUCCGCAUCAAUGCAGCUGUGGUUCAAGCGACAGAUAGCAUAUUGACACGCAGAAAUCCUGGAGAGCACACGAUCCGCCUUCUGUCCACAAGGUUCUACUUGAGAGAUGAUGUCCCCAUAUCCAUUGGGCGUGCUGUUGGUCAUGCCAUGGCGGCACACUUGGUUGACAAUGCCAAAUUCAGUGUUAUGACAGGGAAGUAUGAGAUCAGUGACAUGGCUGAGGAUGAUCUGAUCACCUCUGCGAGAAAUUUCAUGUUGUUCUUUGAUGCCUGUCCAAGUGCAUUUGGUGGUCUCACUACCCUUGACCUAGAGAAUUUGAGAUUUGGGGAAUCAGACAUAUCCAACGUCCUCAUCACUUGCAAGCGCUUGAAGCAUCUCCGUUUGUACAAUUGUGACUCUGGUGAUUGCAGCACGCUGCAAGUUGAGCACGCUCAUCUCAGUGAGCUUAGUAUCGUCCACUGUAUGCUUGAACGAGUUGAGCUGAAGUGGCUCCCUCAACUCACAACGAUGGUCUUUGAAGGUUGGCUACAAUUCCAAGAUCCACUGUUCAUUGGGCAUGUCCCAUUGCUGGAGGUUGUAAGCCUCACAAAUCUUGCCCUUAGUUACCACAAGAUGGUGUUGUUAAGUGAGUUUCUUAGCGGUACCUCUAUACGAGAUCUGAAGUUGGCAUUUAAUUCUGAAAAGAUUUGGGUGCAGCCAGAAUUUCCGACGCCAUGUCUGUCAUCUGUUUUCCGCCAACUAAGGUUUGUUAAUCUGCUUCAUCUUCCUGAAGGGUAUGAUCUCACCUGGACAAUGUAUAUUCUUGAAGCUGCCCCCUUACUGAAGGAGCUAUACAUGACGGUAUGGGAUCAUGCCUGUAAUAUGGAAAUGGACGAGGAGAAGAGGAAAGAAGAAUCGUAUAGUGAGAACCGGGGUGUAGAGUGGGACUUGGUGGCAGCAGAUUUCCAACACCACAGUUUGGCCACACUCGUCAUUUUUGGCUUUGAAUCUGAAGAUUGCUUCGUGAAUUAUGUGAGACGUGUUCUGGUGGCGGCGGUCAAUCUAGAGGACGUGUUCCUGUAUAGUAGGUUGGAGUGUGGCAGCUGCAAGGAGAAGAAGCUUGGCAGGUACCCCUGGACUAAAAGGCAGAGGAUCUCCAUGAAGAAGAGACUCACCAUUGGGAUUGAGUCGUUUGCGAUAUUUCACUAUGGUGAGAUGAGGCCUGGUCAUGUAGCAAAAAUGGAGUACCCAGAGUGCUCACUGCUCGAGGAAAAAGAGGCAAAAAGGUGUUGA